GAAAUGGUCCAGCAGAGUAGUGGACAGUGAGUUGCUAUGAGAAGGCAAAAAGAAAACCCAGACAAACAACAAACCAGAACAAAAACAGUAAGUAAAAGAAACAGGAAAUCAAGCUCAAGUGGGACUGAUUCCAAACACUGACCAAUUUUAUCCUGACUGCAAUUUUGCCUUGACCUUUCCUGACUAAAGCAAAAUGAGGCUGGCUACGUGGAGAGGUUUUUUGCAGUGUUUAUACUGUAAGAGUCAUGCUGACUCAAAC
Molecule: long non-coding RNA, 259 nt
Filed under: Gallus gallus (chicken)
Lineage: Eukaryota; Metazoa; Chordata; Aves; Galliformes; Phasianidae
Source: RNAcentral